AGGAGGAACAGCCCCAGUGGCGGGGCAGCUCUGGAAACCCUGGAUCAGCUCCGGCACGAACUCCGUCUGCUGGGCCUGGAGGCUCCGGGGCGGG
This is a non-coding RNA of Canis lupus familiaris (dog), 94 nucleotides long. Lineage: Eukaryota; Metazoa; Chordata; Mammalia; Carnivora; Canidae. The record is from Rfam.